ACAGGGCGGGGGUCGCGGCCUGCUCGGGGAUCAGGCCGAGAUGCUGCUGCUGCGGACCAUGGCCAACAUCCGGGAGCGGCUCCGAUGCCUCAGUUUCCCCAGGCCCCGAAGCGUCCCGCCUGCUUCCCCGCUAGGGACUCCCAGCAGGCACCGGUGCAGCAGGAGGGACUCCAGGCAGGACUCGGCGGGAGAGGCCUGUGGAGUAGACGACCCUCGGACCGACCCGUCCCCCGUCUCCCCCGAGGAGGGGACCCCCCAGCCCGCCGCGCUCCCGCCCCCCACAAACUGCUGCAUGAGCGGCUGCCCCAACUGCGUGUGGGUCGCCUACGCCGAGGAGCUGAGGCGACGCUUCCAAGAUGGCGGCGAGAAGGCCUUGGCCGCCCUGGAGGAGCAGGUCCAGGACGAGAACGUCAAGGCUUUCAUCAAGAUGGAGAUCCGACUGCGCCUGAAGGACGGGGGCUGAGGGAGACCCGGGCGGACCGCAGGCGGCCCCGCUCUCGCCAUCGGCCCGCGAGGACCGCGGGCCUUCCUUUCCAAACAACGUUUUCCCCCGAGGGGACCUCGGGAGGAGAUCCACCGUCCCCUGUCAUCGAGAAGCUUAUUAGAGAGACGUUGUCGCCGGGAGGAUCAUAAUCCAAUUACCCGGAGAGGGAUAAAUCCCCGUCUUCGGCAUCCCGGGAUGUACCAGGGGCAAGAAGAGAGCAGAAGUUGGCGGGCAGAACAACAGAGACCCCCGCCCACCCCCUCUGAGGGCAAGGAGGGGAGGUUCGGGGACGACAUUCCCGGCAUGGAAGGAUUAGGGACAGACAUCACCGUCAUCUGCCCGUGGGAAGCUUUUAACCACCUG
Molecule: RNA transcript, 847 nt
Organism: Tachyglossus aculeatus (Australian echidna)
Lineage: Eukaryota; Metazoa; Chordata; Mammalia; Monotremata; Tachyglossidae
Gene name: retinal rod rhodopsin-sensitive cGMP 3',5'-cyclic phosphodiesterase subunit gamma
Exons: 5
Source: RefSeq, a predicted model, not a curated record